GAGAAAGAAAUAAACUACUCGAAAAGAACUUUACCUGCAUUUUUGCGUCGUCGGAGCCUCCAUCCUUUCUGCUUCUAAUCGGAAUAGGGUGGGCAACGGCUGAGUUGAAAGCGGCGCAGAGAGGAGAGCAUUCGGGCUCUUUUUUUUUUCCUUUAUUUAUCUUUUUUUCUUUUCGUUUUAAAAAAAUGAAAUGGUGGCUGCCAGAUUAGGGUUUUAUUUUUGGCCCUUCCGUGAUGUAUGAAACGACACCGUUUGGAGUCUGAUCAGUGGCUCCAAAACGACACCGUAUUGGCCCAUACCCGAUGACCCGGUCCAACUAG
Molecule: long non-coding RNA, 320 nt
Filed under: Gossypium raimondii (Peruvian cotton)
Lineage: Eukaryota; Viridiplantae; Streptophyta; Magnoliopsida; Malvales; Malvaceae
Description: long non-coding RNA (GRAI_LNC003260)
Source: RNAcentral